Gasterosteus aculeatus aculeatus (three-spined stickleback) is the source of this 1175-nucleotide long non-coding RNA. The record is from Ensembl. Lineage: Eukaryota; Metazoa; Chordata; Actinopteri; Perciformes; Gasterosteidae.
AUUUGGGGCAAGUAAUACCUGAUGUCAGAUAUAUAACACUAAAAUCACACUGUUUACUCAUUUAAACCAGCGUGCUGAAGCAAUAUUUAAAGCAUGUAAUUAUAGUGACUGAUAAUUAAGUAAAAUGGGUUUUUUGAGGAUGUGACGAGAAAUGAGAUUAUUUUACAUGUGGUUUAAGAUCUCAGGCUGUUGUCAGCCGUGUAAUUGAAGGUUAUUCACAAGUUGUUCUAUCGCAAUUUAUUGUAUAGAUUCUGAAUAUAAUGCAAAUCUUGAGAAAUGAGACAAUCUAUUCUAAUGGUCCUUAUUAGCUGGAGGGUACAGAAGAAUUGUCAUCUGAAGGAAAGAACAAUACUAAUGAGUUGUCACUGUCUUGGGAUUUGCCUCAAGUCACAUGUGAGAACAGAAGAUGCUGCUGGACAAGCUGAUGCUCCACGCAGAACUUGGAAGAAGCUCAAGACGGGUUAAACAGUUACGAAGGGGCUUAAAAGAGACGCUGAUCUGGCCUUUGCUAACUGAGAGGAAAGACACAAUUCCCCUCCUCUUUCCAAGAGCAUGUGAUGUACAGCGCACACCACAGGAGCAGGACAGCAAAGAGUGGAGAUCUAGUCGAGUGUUUUGCUCUCAGUGAGGAGGAACAAGCAGUUUAUCACAUGCAGAGCGGAGAGUGCGGGUCGGGAUGUCGGGUUGGACCAGGUCCUGGAUGUAAGCUGGACCCCAUCCAUUCACAGCACGGUACGUGAGCACCAUGUUUAGAGGACUUAGGAAGGUUAAAGAGCAGUGGAGCUGCUGCAUUGUGGAUGAGCUGCAGAGGUGGAAUGGUGGUAGCAGGAGACCUGCAGGAGAGAGUUACAGUAGUCCAGGAGGGAGACGACAAGAGCCUGAAUCAGUACCUUCUGAGUGAGAAGAGGACGUGUUCUCCUGAUGUUGUAGAGCGAGUAUCUACAGGACCGUGUUGUCAGUGAUGUUGGGAGUCAGGGAGAGUCGGCUGUCGAGAUAACAACACACAUUUAGACAUUUAAAAUGUGUCCUCCUCAUUCCCUUUGCUCUGCAAAAGGCAGACAAAGCCUUAAACGUAUUUCCAUCAGACCUCUGGUAGUGGAAAGGUGGUUUCUUCCAUUAUGUUGUCCGUGUCAGUGUUCAUUUUGGCAGCUAUUUUUUACUUAUUUACUUUUUAC